GGAAGAUGGAGGCAAAACAGUCCUCCUUCUGCAACAGACUCAGCCACCAGCAGUGACUGGGUCUGAUUUGGCCCAGUCUCCCAGGGGCCGGAUGGGGCUCUCUGUGCAUGUCUGUCGGAUGGGCAGGACUGUUCGAGGGCUUUCCUUUGCCACCGGAAAUUCUGCGUCCCUUGAGCCUCCCCAGGUGUCUGAGCUGCAUCUGGUGUCCCAGCAUCCAACGAAACCUCGUGCAGGGCAGAGUGGACGGCGCUGCAGGCUUGGGAGCCGGCUGACGGGGUUCGGGCGCCUGCAGUGACGCUCCCAAAUCCCCGUGGCCUUGAGCACGUGCUGAAAACCUCACCAGCCUCGUUUCCUCCUCUGCAAAACGGGAACCUCCCUGCCAGUGUCUCUGCUUGCAUAGAUGAAGUGGGGCAGGUAAAGCAAG
Molecule: long non-coding RNA, 424 nt
Organism: Lemur catta (Ring-tailed lemur)
Lineage: Eukaryota; Metazoa; Chordata; Mammalia; Primates; Lemuridae
Exons: 3
Source: RefSeq, a predicted model, not a curated record